UUUAUGUUGUUUAUAGUAUUAUCAAGUAAGUAGUAGUUAAAGUAAUUUUUUAACUAGCUUUGACUUGUAGUCAAAACUGAGAGGUUUAUUGACCACAUUGGGUCUGAAAAAACCCCAAUAUGUACAGUACAGCAGUGAGGAAUAUUGGUCAAUGGCCUAACGGCUGAACCAGCUAUUUGGUGGAAUGUAAUCGUUUUACGUGCAUGUGUACAGUAAUGUACUGUGUAUCAACUCUGUUGAAUAAAAUUCUGAAUAGAUAAUUAAUAAUGACAAACAUCUGUUCAUAUGUCUUGACCAAUGCUUGUGCCAGCAGUCGCGGCAACACAAGUAAGACUAGUGUUAUUCAUCUUUAUUAGGUUUAAAGCGUACCUAGACGGCAUCUUUUUCUUAUCGUCAAUGAAAGAAAGUUUGCUAGAGUUUUAUGUGAGAGGUAGAUAUUAGGACUAUUGGUGUAGAGAUGAAAUUUUUUGAUACUAAUAGGAUGUGUAAUGGCGAAGGCAACCCUCUAUGUACAAACUGACGUUAAGGGACGAAGGCUUGGGGAGCGAAUAGGAUUAGAUACCCUAGUAGUCCAGGCAGAAAAUUAUGAAUGUUAUAUACUAAAUAAACACUUGGUGUAUAAAUGAAAGUGCAAGCAUUCCACCUCAAGAGUAGUGUGGCAACACAGGAACUGAAAUCAUUAGACCGUUUCUGAAACCAGUAGUGAAGUAUGUUAUUUAAUUCGAUAACCCUCGAAAAACCUUACCACAAUUUGAAUAAUGUUUAAUUCCUCUUUUUGAGGAAAAAAAAUGAACAUUACAGGCGUUGCACGGCUGUCUAAAGCUAAUGUCGUGAGAUUUUGGUUAGAUCCAUUAAAUUAGCGUAACCCCUUGCUUUAUUUAUCCCAUCUUUUGGACUAAUAAG
RNAcentral lists this ribosomal RNA (903 nucleotides) under Capnodiales sp. L2186. RNAcentral describes it as "bacterial SSU rRNA". It matches the Rfam family "Bacterial small subunit ribosomal RNA", at positions 209 to 1144 of the family's 1533-position model. The record is from RNAcentral. Lineage: Eukaryota; Fungi; Ascomycota; Dothideomycetes; Capnodiales.